UACGUAGGGAGCAAGCGUUGUCCGGAAUCAUUGGGCGUAAAGCGCGCGUAGGCGGCUCGAUCAGUCUGUUGUGAAAGUCAAAGGCUCAACCUUUGAAUGCCGAUGGAUACUGUCGAGCUAGAGUCCGGAAGAGGCGGGUGGAAUUCCUGGUGUAGCGGUGGAAUGCGCAGAUAUCAGGAGGAACACCAACGGCGAAGGCAGCCCGCUGGGACGGUACUGACGCUGAUGAGCGAAAGCGUGGGGAGCAAACAGG
Molecule: ribosomal RNA, 253 nt
Filed under: uncultured bacterium
Lineage: Bacteria
Description: partial 16S ribosomal RNA
Rfam family: Bacterial small subunit ribosomal RNA
Source: RNAcentral